Molecule: long non-coding RNA, 318 nt
Organism: Amphimedon queenslandica
Lineage: Eukaryota; Metazoa; Porifera; Demospongiae; Haplosclerida; Niphatidae
Exons: 3
Source: RefSeq, a predicted model, not a curated record
UUUUAGUUUGCCUAUACAUCAUACUGUGUUGUGAUCGAGUGUUCCGAUAUGUUGUCCAAGUAUAAAUUCUAUUGUAAUGGUUAUGCUCUGUCAUAACAUUGUUUAUUAGAUAACUUCAAAAUUUUUGAGGCAAUGGCUUAUGACUCUCAUGCUUCACAGUUUCAGGUGGAAGACAAUAACUAUUAGCGUUGCAACCAGAGUUGCUUAGUGCUAAGCAACUCUUUACAAUGAUUUACAAGCAUUGAAAAGGGAUCUGCAAAAAAAAGUGUGGCAUUCCUAGCCCAGGAUAACUCCUUUUUAGGCUGAAUUCUAAAGCUC